This is a non-coding RNA of Pelobates cultripes (western spadefoot toad), 209 nucleotides long. The record is from the annotation of a GenBank genome assembly. NCBI's taxonomy places the organism in Eukaryota, Metazoa, Chordata, Amphibia, Anura, Pelobatidae.
CUGGCAGUCCAGAGGGGGGAGUCAUACUCCCUGGUGGGCACGUUGUGUUGGGCAAUUGUGGGUAUAAUAAACAUUGCUAAAUUGUAUUUCUCUAAACCGUAGCAUGUUUCUUUAAUGAAUAACCUCUUACCCAAUUCAGUGCAUAAUAUGCUUACGCCAUCUUGUCCUAGAAUGAUACAACAACAAUUCAAGGCCUUGUCUAAGACAAC